GGAAUCCACAAAAUAAUACCUGCCAUUCAGGAACCACGCCGACCAAUGCAGUUUUGAGGAGGAGUAAGCCCACGUAUGCCUCAAAGCCCUGUAAGAUAAAGAGUAUAGGACAUAGUAUCCAUAGCUGACCAUCUACCCCAGCUGUUUCUCCCCAAACGACAUCCAUUCUCUUAGCCUUUCCAAGAGCAAUCCGAGUAUAAAGCCUCUGACGCUGAUAUCUAUUUUGUAGAAGCAUUGCAACUCCUUGCAUCAUGGCCCACUGUAGGAAGAGCUGCACACCUCUCUGCUUUUGGGCACAAUUUGGCUGUCCUUUGAUCUCCCACGUAAGACUAACCAGGGCCAUAACCAUAGCGCAGUAGUGAUGAUAUAUCCACCAUGGGCGAAUGUCACUGCCAUUGACUCUUAGUAUGUUUUCACGCAAAGCCAAUCCUGUGUAUAGGAACAAGAGCCAUGCCUGGUACAGUUGAACUGGAAAUGCAGGCAAGCAUCCAUCCCAAACCCAG
Molecule: unclassified non-coding RNA, 503 nt
Filed under: Hevea brasiliensis (rubber tree)
Lineage: Eukaryota; Viridiplantae; Streptophyta; Magnoliopsida; Malpighiales; Euphorbiaceae
Source: RNAcentral